Molecule: long non-coding RNA, 2477 nt
Organism: Betta splendens (Siamese fighting fish)
Lineage: Eukaryota; Metazoa; Chordata; Actinopteri; Anabantiformes; Osphronemidae
Exons: 4
Source: RefSeq, a predicted model, not a curated record
CUCACGCGCAGAGAAACACAGACUCGCGCGCCGUUGCCGACACUUCUUUUAAGUUUCCGCAGUAAAUCUGGAAACACCCCCCCCCUCCUCCUCGCGCGGGCUUCAGUUCGCCGCCUGCCUUUGAACUUAGCCGAAUAUUCACUUUUUCCAGCGCAGGCGCACCUUUCAACACACUUUCUUUCCUUAAAUUAUUUGUAAUUUCUUCCCACCUGACGUGGCUUUGUCCACAUUAUCUCUUAUUUCCUGAUUACCUCCCCAUUCUCUACACAGUCUGUCGUGUUUUUAUUGCCCUCGAUCCACGUCAUAAUCCGUUCUUUUCUAUUUCUUACUCUAUGAACAAAUCUAAAUCCUUGAAGGAAAUACUGAUCUUCAGACGUUUUUGCUUGUGGGUUUUUCUGUCCAGAUGUUUUUCUUCUUUUUUUUUUUUUUACAAUAUUACAAAACAAUUAACUUUUAAAAAUGGCUGUGCUUAUAAAAUCAAAUAAAACCUUACCCAUUCUUAAGUAAAAAUUGUAUACAUGUUAAUUUAAGAAGGACAUCAUUGUAAAAAAUCUUGAGUUGGAUGAAACUGAAUUCCCUUUAGUCCUCUCUCUCUCUCCACUGACUGUCUAAGUCAUUCUUUAAAAAUCUCUAUCAAAUGUUUUUUGAAAUAUUCCCUGAAGAACCAAGUUGCCAUAGUGACCUGCUACCAGCAGCUACCAGGUGGUGGUGCUACAACAGGUCAGCGUUAUCUCCUGCACCAGGUUCCUGACUGAUCAGUUUGUUUAUUGCUGAUAGAGGAAGGAUAAUGCAGGUUCUAACAGUGGAGACAAUGGGCAAGUUCUUCUGGUAAAGCAGACCCAUCUUUAGAAGAACACUCCCACAAAGUUGGUGAGCUCACAAUAAAAGCGACAUGUCAACGACUUCUUGGCAAAGGACACAUGAAACCAAGAUGAGAUCUUCCAACUGAACUUGUUUUCCUGACUUCACUUUAAUUUGAUUAAAAAGCGAGCUGCAGGAAGAGGAGGGAGGGCUGAUGCACAUCUAAUAAGUGGACCAUCUGUCUGCAGAGCUGGCUGGCUCCCAGCAUUGUACCCAACCAGACUGCAUGGGAAAUGUAGGGAGAGAUAGCGGGAUGAAGGGAUGGAGGGAGGCAGAGAGGGAGCGCGGUAAAAAUGUAUAAAACCCAAAAAAAGACUGACCCGGGCGGCGAAAAGAAGCAGAGGCAGCAUUUUUAAUUUUGUCUGACGCUUGCUUGGUCAACAAACCUGCAGAGGAGAUGAAGAAGAAUGAAGAGCGGAGUAAAGAGCACUUGAAGGAAAGUGGAGAGGGGAUAAGGAAUAGAGCAGGAGGAACAGAGGUGAUGAGAGGAUGAGAACAUCUGGGAGUUAGAGGGAAGAUGGGGAGAAAACAUCAAAAAUGGAGAAACGGAGACAGGAGAGGGAGGGAGGAGACAACAAGAACAGGAGACAGGAGGAGUGGGAGAAGAAUAAAGGCAGUGGGAUGAAAGGAAAGAAGGAGAGAAAAGAGGAGGGAGGAGGAAGGAAGGAGAAGAAAAGGCAAAAAGAGAAGAGUGAGAGGGGGAGAAGAAGGGGAAACGAGGAGGAUGGGACAGCAUGAGGCAGAGGAGAGACCAGGACAGACUUUUAGCUGAGUGCUCAUCCACGCUGACCUUUGAUCUUAAGGCGGAACACUCUAUUCCAAGCUCCCACCUAUUUAAGGUGGAUUGGCGACAUAAAUGGGUCAGCGCUCAGCAUUGUUUGUCUCAUGUCAGAGCUUGUGUUCCUUCCUCCAUCCUUCGUUCCUUCCUCCUUCACUAACCUUUUUCCUUCUGGUGUCUCUUCAUAUUUACAUCAUCUAAUUGUUUUUCAUUUCUUCCUUUGCACUUUCCAACCCUCUUCUCCACCUUAAUAACCUCAUCUUCUCCCUAUUUCCCAUCACUAGUUUCCUCUGGCUUUCUGUUCCCUUCUUCCUUUUUGCUUCCUUCCUCCUUCCUUUCCUCCAUGUUUCCUUUUUUAUUUCUUCUUACUUGUACUUCGUCCCUCCUCACAUCCCCUCCUCCUCCUCCUCCUCUUCCUCUGUAGUGGGGAGAUGACAUUUAUAUCAUAAUCUCACAUUUCAUCCUGAUUUCACGCAGACAAGAUUCCUUCAUAUUACAACACUCAAUUAUUACAGUUGUCAAUCUCUGCGGCACUGAUUGCUUCUGUCAGUGUCUCUUCUUUCCUCUUGUUUAUCCAACAGCCUUUUACUUUCAUCUGCUUUCCUUUUAUUGUCUCUUCUUUCCUCACAUGACCCAUUAUUCCCUCUUCCCUUUUUAUUUCUUCUUCCAUUUUUUUGCAUUAACUCUGUGCCUUGAAGCCCCGCCUCCAUACACAAACACACAGAGCCUCUGUAUCACUACUGUAAGCCUUUGAUUUGAGUGUUUUUAUGUUGCAGGCCUGAAUUUAAAAGCAGAAAAGUUAUCCAAGUUAUUGAAGAGUUAAGCCCUGGCAGCUACA